AGAGACGUGGAUGCUUCUCGUCCACAAGUUCUUUGGUGCCUCUAUGAUAUAGUCCGGUUUUGGAUACGUGAAAAUCAUAUCAUAUUGCUGCUGUGAAAAGUUAAUUUUCACGUGUCCAAAACCAGAUUAUCUCAUAUUGCUGCUGUGUAUCUUAUCAUCUUUUUCCUGCUACUCUUAC
Non-coding RNA from Arabidopsis thaliana (thale cress), 178 nucleotides. Lineage: Eukaryota; Viridiplantae; Streptophyta; Magnoliopsida; Brassicales; Brassicaceae. The record is from RefSeq.